AUUGAACGCUGGCGGCAGGCCUAACACAUGCAAGUCGAACGAGUGGCGGACGGGUGAGUCAUGCAUGGGAAUCUUGCUUAUGGAGGGGGAUAACUUUGGGAAACUGUAGCUAAUAACGCGUACAAUAGUAUGAGCCUAAGUGGGAUAAGUUAGUUGGUGUGGUAAAGGCUCACCAAGCCGACGAGCUCUAGCUGGUCCGAGAGGAGGACCAGCAACACUGGGACUGAGGCACGGCCCAGACUCCUACGGGAGGCAGCAGUGGGGAAUAUUGCGCAAUGGGGGCAACCUGACGCAGCCAUGCCGCGUGAAUGAAGAAGGCCUUCGGGUUGUAAAGUUCUUUCGGUAGCGAGGCGUUAGUGACAGAAGAAGCACCGGCUAACUCCGUGCCAGCAGCCGCGGUAAUUC
RNAcentral lists this ribosomal RNA (405 nucleotides) under uncultured bacterium. RNAcentral describes it as "partial 16S ribosomal RNA". It matches the Rfam family "Bacterial small subunit ribosomal RNA", at positions 30 to 526 of the family's 1533-position model. The record is from RNAcentral.